GCUUUAUUGAGACAUAACUGACAAAUAAAAUUAUGUAUAUUUAAAGUUUACAACGAGAUGGUUUGAUAUCACACACAGUGAAACGAUUACACCAUCAAGUGAAUUAACAUACCUGUCACUUCACAGAGUAACUGUCAGACUGCUCCAGAAGAACAGGAGAAAUAGAAGAUCUGCAACUACAGGAGAAGAUGUCUUAGAGUAGCUUACAGGAUCGGAGGAUGGACAGUCCCGUGGCGGCCAGCAAUCCUGGGGGCUGCUCAGCCCAAAAGCUGGGAGCCUCAGAACAAGGGGACCAAUGAUGCCGCUCUAGUCCGAGGCUGGAGAUGUGAACACCACGUACCGCCCACCACCACCACCACUGAGAGCGGCUGGUGCUUCCACAUUUGGAGGCUGAAGAAUCUGGGGUCUGACUUCGGCCAGCAGCAGAACACACCGCGCAAGAAGGGCCUCGCACGCACACAGUCUGUUCCUGGCCCCCGCCUCUGGGUGAGUGCUUCCAAGUUCAGGGUGGGUCUUCCUCUCAGUUAACUGACUCCCCCCCUGAUCUUCUCUGAAAACACCCUCACAGUCACAGCCAGAAGUGUGCUUUACCAAAUCUCUAGGCGGCCCUCAAUCUAGUCAGGUUGACAACCAAAUGUAACCAUCAAUAACCUUUUUGUGUCUGUGGUAAAAACACUCAGAAUCCACUAUCUUGGCAAAUUUCAAGUUAUUACCUACAGUCACCAUGCUGUACACUGGGUCCCCAGAACUUAACUCAUCCUGCCUCACUGAGACUUGGUACACUUUGUCCAAUAUGUCUCCAUCACCCCUCAGCCAUGGGAAAGCACCAUUCUACCCUCCGCUUUUAUAAGUUGGACUUUUUUGGAUUCCACAGGUAAGUGAGGCCAGGCAGCUCUUGUCUUGUGUCUGGUUUACAUAGCAAAUUAUCUUCCAGGUUUAUCCAUUUUGCUGCAAAUAGCAGGACUUCCUUAUUUUUUAUUUUAUUUUAUUUUUGUGUGUGUGGUGCUAGGAUUGAACCCAGGCCUUGCGCAUGCCAGGCAAGCACUCUACCAGCUGAGCUACAAUCCCAGCCCAACUUCCUUAUUUUUUAAUGUUAAGUAAUUCUCCACUCUGUGUGCACGAAUCACGUUUUCCUUAUCCAUGCAUUCACCAAUGGACACUUAAGUUGAUUCCGUAGCUUGGUUAUUGUGAAUAAUGAUGUAGUGAAUAUCAGGGGGCAGAUGUCUCUUCAAGACACAGACUUUGUUUUCUCUGGAUAUGUACCCAGAGGUGGUAUGGAUCAUAUGGUAGAGGGAUUGUUGGAUCACAUCAUAUUCCUAACUUUUUAAAGGAACCACCAUAGAGGUUCACAUUCCCACUAACAGUGUGCAAGUUUUCCUUUUCUCCUCAUCCUCAAAACUGGUUAUUUUUCUAAUUUUUUGAUAAGAGCCAUUUAAACAAGUGUGAGGUAAUAUUUCACAGUGACUUUCAUUUUUGUUUCUCUGAUGAUUAGUGAUGUUGAGCAUUUUUAUACUCAUGUGUCCUCUAUCAAAAAUGACUAUUCAGGUCCUUUGUCCACUUCAAAUCAGAUGAGUGGAUUUUUGCUGCUAAUUUGUUUGCGUUCCUUUAUCUUCCAGAUUCCAAGCCCUUAUCAGAGGCAAGGUUUGCAAGAGUCUUCUCCCAUUCCGUGGGUUCUCUUCACUCUGUUGAUUGUAUUCUUUGCUGUAUGGAAGCUUUUUAGUUCGAUGCCAUCCAGUUUGCCUACUUUUCUUUUGUCCCUUGUUCUUUCAGGGUAAUAUAAAAAAAUCUGCUCAGAUUAAGGUCAAGAAACUCUUGCCUUGAGAGUUUUCUUUUCGUAGUUUUACAGAUUUAGGUCUCAUGUUAAGUCUUUGGUCCAUUUUGAGUUGGUUUUUCUAUGUGGUACAAAAUAAGUGUUCACUUUCAUUGUUCUGCAAGAUGGAGAUCAUUUUUCCUAGAAUCUUUAGACUUUAUUUGCUGUAAUUCUGCUGGCAACUACUUUUAAAAUUAAUUUUCUAUUAAGAUAUAAUUCAUACAUGCCAAAAAUUGACCGUUUUAAAGUGCACAGUAGGGAUUUUAGUGUAUUCACAAAGUUGUGCAUCUUCUAAUGCUAGAAUAUUUUCAUCAUUCACUCAAAACCCCAGUGUGUAAUAACAUUCACCCUCCCAAGAUCUCAGCCCCAGGACCAGAAAUCCACUAAUAUACUCUCUGUAACUAUGAAUUCAUCUGCUCUGGGCAUUUUUUAGAAAUUAAAUAAAAUAAUCUAUGGUGUUUUGGGGCCUGCUGUCUCUCACUGAGCAUGUUUUCAGGCUCUUUGUGAUAUUUCUCAGUGCCCCUUUAGUCUUUAUGGUUGAAGAAUCUCCCACUGUAUGUAGAAAACAUUUUAAUACAUUCACUAACUGAUGGACAUUUUGGUUAUUUCCACUACUUGGAAUAAAUUACAAACCAAUGAAUCACACUGCUGUGACUGGGAACUACUUUUUAGUUCACAUCUAAUGAAAAAUUACUGUUGCAAUUUACAACUCUAGAGAAAUUCUGUCUCACUUAAUCCACCAGCAACCUGGGACUUAGAUCACAGUAUCCCUUCACAUAGAAUGUCAUAGACCCAGAAGAGUCCUGCGUCUGGACCAAAGGAGGAGCCAUUGGAUUGACAGGUUUCAGAGUAAACUAGACUCCAAAUGGAGUGCCCUUCUCAGGAUUUCAUGUAGCUUUAAAACCUGCGAUAUAAGCAUGAUCAAGUUCAUUCUAUCACGUCCAUCUCCUCAUGAAUAAGCUAUGAGACUAAAUCAGCUGGUCCUGACCACCUUAUAAGGUUGAUAAAACAUUCCAGGAAAGAGCUGUAAAAUACACAGCAAGACGAGUUACAGAUAUUUUCAGCUGUGACCUGAUAUGACCCACGCAGUGUGCCAGCAAAAGGAUCUAGAUUCUUCUUCAUCAUAAACUGGAAGUCAGAUGGCCUGAUCUUUGUCCUUACUUCCUGGGUGAGUCUCAGGAAAGUCACUUCCCUCACUAUUGGACUCUCCCAAGAGUGGCAACCAGUGGUACCCACGCUGGGAACUCACUACUUCUCUUUUGUUAAAAAAAAAAGAAAAAGUCAAGCACACUGCCUGAGUGAAUCCUAGUUAGCUGUAUAGGAGCAGACAAGCUGCUUCACUCCUCCCUAGGCUGUUUCCUUGUGUUUAAAACGUGUAAUAACAGCCCCCAUCUCAUAUGGUUGUGGCUCAGGGUUAAAUGAGCUAAUAGAACAACCUCACAUAGUGUGACGCCCUAUAAUGUUAGGUACUUCUUAGUGAACUGCCUGCCUGGCUCCGUCCGCCUUGGAUUUGGAUGUGCUCUAGGUCCCCUUUACUCCUGCCCGUGCUGCAGACUCUGCUCUCUGCUUCCCUAUUCCACAGUUCUCCAUGUUGACAGGACCCUCAGAGUGGAGUUCACCUGCAGAGCUUAACCCUCACUGUCCAAACUGACUGCCCGACUUCUGCUCACAGAAAGAAGAUUCUGCCAAGUUCCUCAGUCAGGAGCCUCUCACACCAAACACAUGCUGGCUUGCUUUUUUUCUUCUGUUUCUAUAAUUUAAAACCUUGGGCUGUGGCUGGGGCUCAGUGGUAGAGCACUUGCCUCACAUGUGUGAGACCCUGGGUUGGAUUCUCAGCACCGCAGAAGAAAAAAAUAAACAAAAUCAAGUCAUAAAAAUUAAGAAAACCUCAUUUGGGAUGUUGGAUGAACCUUACCUGGGUUUUGGCUCAGGCUUUGCCAGUAAAUCACUGAAGACCUUGGAUCAAGUAUUUUUUCCCCUCUUGGUUUCCUUUUUCUCACGGAUGACAGGAGUGGGCUUUAUUCCUGAAGAUGUAAGGGUCCAUCUAGUUUUAAAACUCUGACUUCUUCUUGUUCCUCUCUGCCAGGCUCCUGACCACCACUUUUCUCAAGUUCACCUUGGUCUGUGUUCCAGGGGCUGCAGGCAAUUCUUUGUCUGGGGCUCACUUCCCUCUGUGUCUUUCCUUAGCAGAGGGAGAAGGGUGGAAAUGCUCUCCUGCCUUUAUAAAGGAAGCACUGACUUACAUUAAUGGAAAAACUGGUUUUCUAGAGAAGCCCAAGGCUAACAGUGAGACUGACACCCUGUCUUUAUAGGUGGGAUAACUGUGAGACUAAUAACUGACUGCCUUCUCCUAAGAGACUGAUGUAGGGGAGCCUAAUUAACCCACUAACAAGCAGGGCAUGAAGGGGUGAGUUGUCUCAAUAAUUGAUGAACUGAUUCACAAGGGGCUAAUCAUUGACUCCUGCGGGCACUAAUCUGAUCCUUCACUAACACACUGCUUGGUUGCCUUAUCAACAGACUGGUGACUCAUUUGCUGCCCUUUUGGCUGACCUGGUGACUGACCUGGAAACAGGCCGACCAGGGAAGUGAUGGGGAGGCAGGCUGACCAGGUGACAGGGGUGACAUAGGACAGCACAGACCAGGGAGCACAGGCACGGGCUCCAGGUGAACUGACCAGGGCUCCAAGCUCUCGCUGGCCGUUAACCCCUACAGGCCUGGGAGGCCUUGGUGCAGGGCCUCGAUGGCCUGUGACUGGAUCCCUGACUCCCACUGCCCACUGGAGAGCAGCCCCGCCUCCUGAACCUCAGCCUCAGAGCCCCAUGCAGGCCCCCUCUGCCACACCAGGGACGCCACAAGCAAUGUGCGCCCAGGGACAGGUCACCACCAUCCGUUUCAUGCGCUGGAAGGCAGUGUAGGGCUCAAAAGGGGACAAAAAAAACCCCGCAGGGCACAGGCAUCCCUCAGCCAAUCAGCGCUGGGCGGUCUUUUCUGCAGCCAAUCAGCAGCUGCACACGCCUACUCCACACCCCCAGCCAGUCAGGCAGAUGGAGCACAGUCCUCUGGGAGCUGAGGCACAGUCACCAGGACCAAUCAGGAGCUGAGCCUGCAUGUCCCGCCUCUCUGUGACCAGUGGGAAGGAGCCAAUCAAUAGGGGGGGCAGAGUCUUGGGAGCUGAUGGGGAGCCGUUUUUACUCAAGAGAGGCUUUUCUUAACCACACUCAUGAAAGCACAGAUCAUUGUGUUCCUCUUGAUUGAUCCCCUUAACCUCUUAUGCUUUACCCAUUGCAUGGUUUCUGACCCACUUUAAAACAUUAUGCUGAUCAAUUCUGCUUUUAUUGCCUGACUGUCCCACUAGGACAUAAGCUCGAGUAGGCAGAAAUUGUUGUCACUACAUUUCCUGGCUGUGUCCUCCAGGCUUUUGAAAUAUUGAGUGCAUCAUAUUCACCCGUGAGUGGUCAUUUAAUCAGGGACAAGCACAUUGGGCGGGCCUGGGAGUUUCACAGGUUAGACAUAGAGAUCACUUUGUAAGAUGUGGCUGAUGUGGAUAAACAGGUGACACUCGCACCACCAGAGCAGGAGAGUCCCAUGUGCUCCACAUCCCUGCCAACGGGUGAUGAAGGCCUGUGUGUGUGUGUGUGUGUGUGUGUGUGUGGUGACUGUGUAAACUCUAUAUUCAUUGAAGUAAAAUUUAGUUGUGUUUCAUUUUUUAUUUUUCUUGUUUUAUAGCAGUUAUGCAAUUGAUAUAAAUUCUUUUUUUAGGUACACACACUGCAAAUAACUUCAAGUCUUUGCUUGCCUUUCACUCUCUUAGUGUUGUUUAUUUAUUUAUUUUAUUUAUUAGGGAUUGAAACCAAGUGUGCUUCACGACUGAGCUAAAUCUCCAGCUCCUUUUAUUUUUUAAUAAAAGACAGGGUCUUGAUAAGUUGCUUAAGGCCUUAACAAUUUUGCUGGGGCUGGCCUCAUACCUGCAAUCCUCUUGCCUCAGCCUCCUGAGGCACUUGGAUUACAGAUGUGUGCCACCACAGCUUUUAAAUUUUAAUGCUUUUAAAAUUGAGAGAAGUUAUUAGAAUUUUUAGUGAAAUUCAAUUUAACAUUUUUAAAAAAUUAGGGCCUGGGUUUGUGGCUCAAAGUAGAGUGCUUGCUUCACACCUAUGGGGCACUGUGUUUGAUCCUCAGCACCACAUAAAAAUUAAAAAAAGGUAUUAUGUCCACCUACUACUAAAAACCAUUUUUUAAAAUAUGGCUAAUGAUUUUUUGUAUACUGCUUAAGAAAUAUGAGCCCCCACAAGGUUGUAAAAUAUUCCUCUUUGCUUCUUCUAGGAGCUUCAUUGUUUUACAGUGACACUUAAGUCUAUUAUAUAUACCAAAUUGAUAUUUGGAUGUGAUAUGAAAUGUGGAUCCAGGUUAAUCCUCUUUUUGUUUAGAUUUCUAAUGACUUUGGCACCAAUUAUUGAAAACACCAUUUCUCCCCUGAAUCCCUGUGGCCCUUAAUCACCCCCAGUUCUCUGUGUUCACAGGUCUUUAUUUAGGUGCCCUAUUCUGUCCCAGUGGCCUGUUUAUCUCUGCUUCCACCAAAACAAGUAUCUUAGUUACUCUAACUUCAUCCAAGUCUGAAGGUCAGACAUCUUCAGGAUUCCAGCUUUCUAUUACUGCAAGAAUGUCUUCAUUUUUCAACUGUUUUGCAUUUUCUUAUAACUUUGAAUCAGCUUGUGAACCCCCCUCCACACACACACCUGCCAGAAUUUUGAUUGGAAUUUACUGAACUUAGGAAAAGUUUGGGGUGAAUUGAUCACAAAUGUGGUACAAUAUUCUUUUAAUUGUUUUUGUGAAAAUAAACAUGAAAUAAUAAUUAUGGUUUUAACCAUUUUAAGGUGUAAUUGUCAGUGUCAUUAAAGACAGAGGUUUCAGUUUGGGGUGUCAUGGUGGGGACCCUGGCAUGGACGUUCCUGCUGGUGGGCAGCUCCAUUUCCCUGUGGUCCUGCGUAUCUGGCACAUCCUCAGCACGAUGCUGGCCUCCAGAAUGAGCUGGUGCUCCUCUCUCCACACAUUAUGGGGAGAUUGAGGUCCAUGUUAGCCCCACAUGGUCAGUAGAGGUGACCAGUGAGGCCAUCUGGGCAGGACUGUCCUGGUGGAGGUCUGGGGUUAGGGACUCAUCUUCUUGCCGGUGUGAGGUCUGCUCAGAGGCUCUGCCUGCUCAUGGCUCAGCCUGUGUAGGUUGCAGGUUCCAGGAAUCUGUCCUCUCACCCAGGUGGGGCCACUCAUUAGCUAGGACUGUCCCAGGGGCUCAAUUAAUCAUCUUCAUUUCUCUAAAGUCACUGGAAUAUCCUCAUUUUCAUUUACGACUUUCAUGAUGUGAGAUUCUCUACUUGGUCAGUCUAGCUACACGUUGGUCAAUUCUGUUUGAUUUGUUUUAAGAAGCAGUUUCUUGUUUGCUUGAUUUUCUGUUACUUUUGUGUUCCGGUGUCAUGGUGUCUGUGUGACCGUGGUUCCCCUCUGUUAGGUUUGUACUUUGGUCUUUGCCUGACGUCAGGUCGCUGGUUGGAGACCUUUCCUCCCCAGGUCAGCUCUUAUGCUCACAUUUCUCUCCAGCUCUGCCCCCUGGACCCGUGGAUCCUCACACUGUGUCCCGCUGCUCCUCAUCUGCAGGAAUUGUCGGGUCUCCCUGGGGAGUUCUUCUUGCCCACGGGGUGUUCACAGUUGGUGUAGGAUUUCCACAUCCCUGUUGCUCUCUGCUCUCCUCUUGGGAUGGAUUUCUGGUCUCCUUCCAUCAUGAUAGGAAAAGAUGCCGCGCGAUUCCAACCUUAUAAAAUCCAUGACGACCUGUGUAUGGCCCAGGGGUCCUCCUGCCCCAGCAGAUUAUCCUGUUGAUAAAUCUCCUUCUGAGUCCAGGUUUGUCCUUUCCGUGAGACUGCAGGGUGACGUCCCCCUCAUCCUGGCUGCCUGGCCCUUGGGCACAGACCCAGGUGACUCUGGAGGACCCUGAUGUACAGGACCCGGCUGUUCCUUGGCUCCUCUCUCUUGGCCAAUUCCUGCCUCCCCUCCAGGUGCCGCUGGAAGGAACUUCUUCCAGGGAACCUCUCCCAACCUCCACUGCCAGGAAAGGACUCUGAGAUAUUCUCACUAGUCACAGGCUGGAGAACGGAGGAGGAAAGGACAAGGGAGGUUUGUGACAAUGACGGUUCCAAGCUAAAUCAAAAAAGAAAGAAAAACAAAGGCUCCCCCUCCCUCUCCUGCAGGUUGGAGACCCCUCAUCAAGGUGACAUCCUUCUGCUCUUAGAUCCAACCAAUCAAGGAGCAGCAACACCUUCCCUCCCUGGACUGCCCCUGUCCCAGGAUUCUGCUCGCUCUGUGUCACCUUGUCCCUCAUAUCCACAGCCAGUGUAAGUUCAGGGGAGAUGGUUUACAUUUCCUCUCCCCAUAAUGUCAUUCAAACCCUCCUGGUCCCUUAACUCUGGUGGGUGUUAUUCCAGCUGCCAUCUGGCCACGCUGCUGGUGGCCCAGGGGACUGGUCUCAGGGCCAGGUCUCUCCCCUGGGCCAGCAUCCGUGCUGCUCACCAGCCCUUUCCUUCAGACACCUCUUAGUCUCAAAGCUGAACAACUUCCCUCCCCAAGAGCUUGUGCCCUUGGCCCCAGACCCUGGGCCCUAAUGACCUGUUCAAUAUCUUGGGCUCCUAUUUACAGGAACCUCGUCACAUUGUGUUUUAGGAAGUGACCUAUUUCUGUCCUUUCCCAAACCCCAACCACUCAUGAGUUUGAGCUCCACCCAUUGGUAGAAAUAAUUCACUGGGAAACCAUUAGAGUUCCCAGAUCUGGCUCUUGGCUCUGGGGUUUCAAGGUAAAGAAAAUGAACAUGGACUCAUAAUGACUGGUCAUCUCCCAGGACAUUAAGCUUGAGGUCAACCACUAGACACUGUCAAUUAACCUCAAACUGGAACUUUCCCGAAGACACCAAAUGUCUUCUUUAAAAAAAAAAUGAUACUAGGGAUUGAACAAACCAACUUUCCUUAACCACUGAGCCACACGCCACAUCCCUGGAACAUUUUUUCCUUUUUCUUUCUUUCUUUCUUUUUUCUUCUAGAGACAGGGUCUUGUUAAGUUGCUGAGGCUAAAUUUCAACUUGCAGUCCUCCUGCCUCAGCCUCCCCAGCCACUGGGAUUGAAGCCAGGUGUGCUUUGACCACUGAGUCUUUUCUUUAUUUUUUUAAUUUUGAGACCAGCUCUUGUGCAGUUGCUGAGGGCCUUGCUAGGUUGCUGAGGCUGGCGAUGAACUUGUGAUCCUCGUGUCCCAGCCUCCCAAGUUACUGGGUUACAGGGUUGUGUCCCUUAAGCUGAUGUCUUAAGGUGAGGGAAGCACUGUGCCUCCUUCCUCCAAGGUUCCUGGGGGUGGCAGAUACCAUGCAUGUAGCAGAGCAUGAGGCAGAGAAACAGGAGAACCCAGCCACCCCCAGGGUUUCCUUCACAGGUGUGACGAGGAGGAACCAAAUGCACUUAAGUCUUUUACUGUGUGGAAACCAGACAGGGAGAGGAGUAAUGGCCCUUGUGGUGACCUUGAAAGGAACAAGUAGGGAAAUGAUGCAGGAGGCUCCCAGCACAGGCUUCUUUUUUGACACUGGAGGGAUGUCUAGCACAGAGUGGAGACAGUUUUUCUUGUCAGCUGGACAGAGGUCACUGCCCAUGUCCUGUAGGUGGAGCCAGGGAGGCUGCUCAGCCCCCACAGUGCCCAGGACAGCCCACCACACCACAGAGUCACCAGCCCCAAAUGCCCAAAUGGAAGGGUGCUGAGGGGGCUGAGCCCGGCUCCAGGCCACCCCGUGGGAAAGUGCAGGGGUGGGAAGGCAGGGGAGCACUUGGUGGGGAGGUGGGAUUUGAGCCACAGGUGAGCAUGUCCUGCCAAGAUGGAGACAGGGGAGGGGACUGCAGUGGGCAGAACUUCGAAGGAGGCCUGGAGAGGCUUCCUGAGAGUCCCAGGGAGGACCAGGUGUGCUGAGCAGGGCGGGGCUGAGACAGGGCUCUGGUGUGGAGGGGAGAUGGAGAGUCCCCCAGGGGCUCACUGUAGGGGGUUAGGGGGAGGACAGGGCUGGUGGGGACCAUUAGGAAGCUCCCUUUGCUGAUGCUGUGGGUGAUGGGCUGUGGGUGAGGGGGCCCAGAGGCUGGGGAGAAGGCUGUAGGAAUGGUCUGGGGAACAGAGGUCACAACCUGGACCUGGAGGUGGGGAAGAGGGCACAGAUCAGAACUUGGGGACUGUGGGAAGGGGCCACCAGAGAGAGAGGGAGAAGUGAAACACAACCCUGGCCAGGCCCAUGGGAAACUUCUCCUUAUAGAAACAUUAUCUAAUACUUCCUAUCUGCUAACUGGGACUUCAGCAGGUUUUCCCCUGUGACCACAGGACACUCCCUGGAUCAGGGGGCAGGUGGAGAGCAGCAUACGGCUGGUACCUUAGGGGAUUGUUAUGGUUGGGUAUGAGGUGUUCCCUGGAAAUCUCCUGUGCCAAUGCAGGAAUGUCCACAGGUGAAAUGAGGACACUGUGACACUGUCACCUAAUCUGUGGAUUAGUCCACGUGAUGAGAUAAUAAUUUGAGGGAUUACUGGGUGGUAAUGGGAGGCAUGUGGGGAUGGCUGGAAGAAGCAGGUCCCUGGGGUGUGCCUUUGGGGCUUUUACUUGUCCCUGGCUCUGCCCUCUCAUGUGCUCUCCUCUGCCCUGGGAUGAGCAGCUGUCCUCCACCACGCCCUUCUGCCACGAUGUCCCACCUCACCUUGGCCCCAGAGCAGUGGAGUCUGCCCACCACAGACUGAACCUCUGACUGUGAUUCCCAGAUAAACUCCUCUUCCUCUGAGCUGUUCUCACCAGGUGUUUGGGCCACAUCAGUGAAAAGCUGACACAGUCAAUUAGAAAAUUGAACAAUGACCUCAGCAGCACGUGGCACUCAACUGAAAGCACUUUGACCAGUCCCCCAAAGCUGACUGCUGCUGGACCCUUACCACACCCCAGACCUGCACUAGACUGCUGUGCCACUUCAUGAAUCCUCAAGAUGAAGCUGUGAGCUAAGUGGUCCUGUUAUCCCCAUUUACAGAUGUGCAAAGGGAAGAAGCAAGAGAUGGAGCUGUGAAGCAGGCAUUAGAAUCCUGGAACUCUGACUUCAAGUUUCCAUCCCCAUCACCACCAUCACCAUCACCAUCACCAUCACCAUCAUCACCAUCACCAUCACCAUCACCAUCACCAUCACCAUCAUCACUAUGAUCAUCAUCACAUUUUGGUUUUUGGGACUGAACCCAGGGGCACUUUACCAUUGAGCCACAUCCCCAGCCCUUUUCAAUUUUUAUUUUGAAAGAGGGUGUUGUGACUUUGCUCAAGGCCUCUUUUAUUGCUGAGGCUGGCCUUGAACUUGUCAUCCUUGGACCUCAGUCUCCCAAGGCACUGGGAUUACAGGCACAUGCCACUGUGACAAAACUAUUUUUUUUGUAAUUGAGGCAAAAAUAACAUGACAUAAAAUGAACCAUUUUAAAGCAAACAAUUCAAUGACAUUUAGUGCAUUCACAAUGUUGUGCAACCAGCUCUAUCUAGUUGCAAAACAUUUUCAUAACCUCAAAAGGAGACCUUUUGUGUCCACUAAGCAGUUGGUAUCCAUUUCCUCCUCCACUUCCUGGAACUCACCAAUUUAAUUUCUGUUUCCAUUGUUUUACCUCCUCUGGACAUUUCCUAAUGUUGGAAUCAUACAAUAUGUGAUCAUUCAUGUCGGGCUCUCUCAUGUAGCAUCAUGUUCUUGAGAUUCAUCCAUGCUGGAGUGGACCUCCAUGUUCAGUCCUUUUAUGGCUGAGUGAUACUCCACCAUAUGGGUAGGUCACAUUGUGCUGAUCCGUUCAUCAGUUUAUGGGCUUUUGGUUUUUCUUCACCUUCUGGCUGUUACAAAGGGGUUUAAAAUUUACCCAUUGUUCUCUAUUGUUUCCCUCAGACAAUUUAGACAGUCUGUAGAUCCUGUAAAUAAAGCUAUGGAGAAGAGAUGAAUGAGAUCCAAGAGGCAGAAGUUCUAGAAUUUUCCCAGGGUGGUGGGAAGGACUUGGAGAAGGCUCAUGCUGGAGAGACCUUUGUCAUUGGGUCUUGAGGCUCUUUAUACAGUACCAGAGAGCUCCCAGGCCCAGGGAAGCAGGAGGACGGGAAGACUCACCAGAUCAGGAAGAGGCUCAGUGGCCCCUUAGAGAAACAGGCAGAGAGGACCUCAACUGGGUCAUGAGAGAUUGGAGGAUGAAAGGGUGAGACUGUUCCACAAGAUCCUGUGAGUGACAGGCCUAGGAUCACGUUCAGUGGUAAAUCAGAGCUGGAUGCAGAGAACAAUUUUCCUCUACCCCACCGGCCUAUAUAUAGGACAGAGUGCACAUGCCACUCUCACCUCCUCAUGUGGCGAUGUCCUGAGGUGAUCUCAGAUUUCAACAAGGGCAUCUGGGUGAGGGAUUUAUAGUCACUGUCUGUACCAUCUCAGCAACUUUUCUGUAAAUAUUAAAUUCCUCCAAAAUUAAAAAUUUAUUUAAAAAUAAGAAAGGGUUGGGGAUGUGGCUCAGGGGUAGGGCACUUGUUUAGCCUGUAUGAGACCUGGGGCUCUGUCCUCCUCCCUGCAGAAAAAUAAAAUGAAAUAAAAAUAAGAUACAAGGCAGCGUGCAUAGAAAGUGUGCAUGUGUGUGUGUGUGUGUGUACUUGAAUGUACACACAGAGGUUCCCUAUGAAAGGAUAGUCAAGCAGGGAGAGACACAAGAUGUGAGGAUUACCUUAUUCUUACUCAAUUUUACUGCAUGUUGAAUUCUGUUUUCCUAAAAUCCAUGUAUUGGAGCCCUAACCCCCAUACAGUGGUAUUUGGAGACAGGCCUUUGGGAGGUGACUGGUGUCACUGAGGUCUUGGGAGUGGAGCCCUCACAUAGGACUAGUAAGAGGAAACACUGUCACCAGGGGGCAUAGGUGCGAUGUAUGCGGUCGAGGGGAGAAAUAAAGAAUGUGCACACACUUCUGCCCUUUUGAUAGCUCUAAUCCCUCAAAUCACUCAAUACAAUUUCACUCUGUAGGUUCUUAACCAAGAAAAGGUCAAUCCUUAAUGCCAGGCACUGCAAUAGACAUAGUCAAUUCACAGCAAACAAUUCUAGAUAAUUAAUUCUAGGCACUGCAAACACACUUAAUCAUCAGGCUCAGGACAGGCAUCCCCUCUGGGUGCUAAGUUCCAAAGUCUCAAGCCUUAGGCUUUCCGUCCAGCAGAUGCCCACUCACUCAGACCACAGUGACCAGUUCCUGACCCAAGGCAGGCUUCUGGCGUGGAGUGGACGACCAGUCCAGGAGAGGGUUACAGGGAGAAGUUGCAACUCUCACCAGUGUCCAGAUGAGCUGGUAGAGUUUGAGGGCAGUGAGGAUCACACAGAGGAUCAGGAAAUGAUGACAAGUGAUGGGACGUCAGUCCAGGUCCUCGUCAGGCCCUCCAGCUGAGUGCAUCCUUGUUUCCGCUGGCUGAAUCCCUGUUCAUUAGCUCUAUUAUUCAUACUAAAUUUGGAGCUUUUGACCACCAUUUCAACCCUUAUCAUCUACCCCUGGGUUUCUCCAUGACGUCAUUUACCCUGGGGUCAGAAACAUCUGGUCUGCUGGUCUCCACCCUGAUCUUCUUCUCUUUCCCUCUUAUCAGGCCAGGACAGCCUGCCAGGGCUGCACUCUGUUAUCAGGGUGAGGGGAGGUGACUUCUCUGAGGACACACUGGAGGUCCCCUUAGGUGACCACUGACACUGCAGGUUUCAAACUGGAGUUUUAAAUGGAGUUGCUUAGGCUCAGGCCUCAGGCCAUCCUCCAAACACCAAAGAGUUUGGUUCCUCUUUCUCCACAGUGUGAGACAGGAAGAGGAUAAGAUGGUCAUCUAAAAUCCAGGGGGAAAACCCUCACCAGGAAACAAAUGGGCCAGCACCUGGAACCUGGACUUUUAGCCCACAGGACUUGAGAAGUAAAUUUCUGUUAAGUCACCCAGUGCACAGUAUUUUGUUACAGCAGCUCAAACAGACCAAGACAAACUGUGUGCUUACUAUUAUAAAACAAUAGCAUUGCAAGAUUGAAGGGGAGCAGGCUGGGUUGGGACCCUAAGGAGAAUGAGGGCAGAGUUUGGGACAAGAAUGUAGCUCUGGGAGCUGGGGUUGUGGCUCAGUGGUAGAGAGCUUCCCUAGCAUGUGGGAGGCACUGGGUUUCAUUCUCAGAACCACAUAAAAAUAAAUAAAUAAAAUACAUGUCCAUUGACAAUUAAACAAUAUUUUUUUAAAAAGACUAUGGUUUGAAGGCAAAGGAGCAUCUUUGAAUCAUUAUGAGUAAAAUAUGUAGAAGUGGCUAUUAAUUUAAUGAAUAAAUAACCACCAAACUUAAAAAAAAUGUAGCCCUGGGACAGGUGAGAGGGGAAGUGUCUUUGGGAUCCCUUGGGGACAGGAGGAGGAUGGAGUUUGUAAGGUGACAGUGGGUGGGUUCCUGCCUUUGCUGGUCCUGCACCUGGUCUGACCUCCUCCUGAGCUGUGAAACCCAGGUCUUGUCUGAAGCUGAAACAGUCCCCCCUCCAUCCCACCCCGGGGAGGGUGGCUGUGCCCACCUGUGCCAUCUCACAUGGCCGGGUUCUGUGGAGACAGGAUUGUUCUUCUCAAGUAACAGGAAGGUGGCUGUGGAUACCUGUCCCCAGAGAUUUAGGAAGGGGAAGGCCAUGGGUUCUGUGAUGCUCCCCCUUCCUCCUCAGUCCUGGCUUUUAGGGACCUGGGCACCCUGACCUGGCCCUCACAGGACACAUUUAGCCUGACAGCUCUCUCCACCAUCACCUCCGCUCCAGGGAGGUCACAGGAAAGGUGCGGUAGGAGCCGUGGUCGUGGGGCCCUGGUGUGAGGUGACCCUGGGGAGCGGGGCGUUCUCAGGCCUGGGGGAGAGGCUUGUGCUGCCUCGGGAAGGCGCGUGGCCUCUCUGUGCAGCUGGAUGCCUCUGCCUCAGGGGUGUAGGCUGAGCCUACAGUGAAAUGGGGUCAAUCAGGGGAACUGAGGGAUGGGUUGGAGGUGGGGUGUGGUUUCCUGAGUGUGGUCGAGGAGGGCCUGGCUGAGAAGGGAACACCAAACUCCAUGACUCCGCCCACACCACAGGUUGGCUCCACCCACUGGCCACACAGAGAGGAGGGGCUUGCAGGUUCAGCUCCUGAUUGGCUCUGGUGGCUGCUCCAUGUGGCACCUGGAGCCAUCUGUCCCACUGGCUGGAAGUGGAGUAAGCUUUUGGAGCCGCUGAUUGGCUGCGGGGUGGGCGGUCCCUGUGAGGUCCAGGGUGGCCCAGGGCUGCAGUGAAGCCCUCCACCCCGUGCCCUGCACUGCAGAAGGACGCUGACUGGCCCCCUGGAGUGGCGGUGGGAUCUGCGUGGGGUCCCGCAAACUGGGCUGCAGGAGGCCGCGCUGCUCCCUAAUGGGCCACUGUAGCCAGCCAGGCAGCCACUGGCCGUCAAAACCCUGCGUCCAAAACCCUCACCACCGCCCUGCGGGGCUCUCAGAUGUGCAUGACCAGCUCCUGAAGGUCGGACCCCAAGAGCGCAGACUCCUGGUCAAUUAGCUCAGAGCCCAUCCAUUUACUGGUCAAUGGUCCCUUUUCAGCAUGUCCCUCUCAGUCACCUGGAGUUGCAGAAGACAGCCAGUGGGUCACCAGUCACAAGGCAGCCAGUGUGUGCUAAUGACCUAGUCACUGUCCUGAAGGGUGGAAAGCUCGUCCCCUUGAGGAUGGGUUCAUGUGGUCACCCCCAGUCUGCCAGGCCGAUACACCAUUAGGUUCCACUGUCCUCUUACUAAGGUAGUCCCACUCUAGGUCACCAGUCCCCAGCCCUGUGCCUGUCCCAUGGGUAGGGCAGGUAAUGGGUUUCACUGUGGCUCAUCUGUUUCCCUAGAAGCUCUCACUUUGGGACAGGCGCCCACAGGGUGUCAGGGGUUGUCUGCUGUCCCACUCCACCCCUUGUCCCUUCUGCCUCAGUCAUGUUCUUAUCCAGUAUGCUCUGGGGUCUCGGGAAACCCAAGUCUCAACCUCUUCCUUCAUCGCCAUCUCCUCAUCCUCAUCCUCCUCCUGCUCUCUGGGGACAUGGGUGGUGACUGAGCCACCAGGUGAGCUCUGCAGCCAACAGCCCUCACAGCUGUCCCACGUGUGACACUCUGGUUCCCUCCUGUUCAGCCCCUUCAUCAGCACACUGGUCCCCUCCAGGAGCCUGGAGACCUGGCAGGAGAAGGGACACUCUCCAAAGGGUUGUUCCUCUGGGGCUGGGGUGGACUAGGAGAUGAGAAGAACUUUCCAGACACCCUGAGAGGCUCUCAGAACAUCCUGUGAGACCACCACACCUUCAUGGGACCCUCAGGCAGGGCUAGGACAGGGGCUCCAGGGACAGAUCCACUUCCCAGUGCUCCUGGGCUCCCUGCUGGCCUGGGACCCAGGACCCCCCUCUUAGCCUCCUGCCUCUCUACUCCCCACACCUGUAGGGGGGCCAGUUCCCCUCUCCCCUGGCCUGGCUGGUCCCUUCCUGCAUUCCUGAGAAAGCUGCCUGGCCCUGUCCAUCCUGCACUGGUCACUCUGAGCGUGGAUGCACCUGGUGCUCGAGGUUGGGCCAGCACCAGGGUUGCGAGGCCAUGGGGUCCCUGGAUCCCAGCAGCAGGAGGAGAAUGGUGACGUCAGUGAGCAGGGCAGCUGGGCACUGGGAGCUAAGUGAUCCAGAUGGCAGGCAGUGGCCAGAGGCACUGUGACACUGUCAUUUCUCUCCGACCAGGACAUUGGGUCUGGCUGGCCUGAGGGCCAGAGCUCCAGUGUCCCAGGGCAGAGUGAAGGACCCUCAGGACACAGGGUGGCUGCUGCCCUGCUGUGUGUGCUGUAGCAUGAGCAGGUCCUGCCUGUGUCCAUGGCCAGGGUUUGUGCAUUGUGGUGUGUUUGUGUUGGUAUCUGUGGCCUCUGUUUGUGUCUGAGGUAGGUGUGUGUGUGCAUAUGUGGUGUGCACGUCAGCAUCUGGAGUGUAUAUGUGUCCUGCCUGUGUGUCUGCAUGUGUGUCCAUGGUCUUUGUGCACAUGUCUGAGGUGUGCAUGUGGAUUUUUGCGUGUUUGAGCUGUGAUGUGUCUGAGGUGUGUAUGCAUCUCAUCUCUUAGUGCAUGUGUGUGUCUGCAUGAGGAAUAUGUGUGAAUUUUGAGAUGUGCCUGUUUAUAUGUGUGAAUGUGUGUUUGAAUUUGUGCAUGUGGAUGCAUGUGAUAUGUUCACUCUCUGUAUGUGCAUAUGGAAUUUCUUUGUGUCUGUGUGUGUAUACCUGUGGUCUGUGUGUAUGUUUUUGUGGAUUGUGUGUGCAUUUGUAUGAUUGCCAUGUUUUGUGUGUGCCUUUGCAAAUAUUAGUUUCUCAGGAAUGAUGUCCAUGGGGGACAUAUUGAAGAGUCCAGUCCAUCCCUCAUUCCCCAUAAAAAUAAUCCUAUUUUGUUUCACUCCAAACUUCUUGUCACCAACCAGAAUAACAUGCAACACACUUAGUUAUUAUUUACCUGUAUUUCUCAGUAUUAAGUUGUGUACCUAAUGAUGAUUUUGUAUCUCUUCUGCUUACUGCUGAAUCCUUCUUAGAAAAAUGUGUGGCAUAUGUGAGGUGCUCACUAGUUACUUCACAAAUGGUAAGGAAAUACAGAAAUGCAAAAUGAGAUUGCUUCUCCAAGGGAUGACUCUGUGCUCUUAGAGCAUCCUGUCUGCAGUGAUCUGAUCCCAGCCUGCUGUGCCUUUGUGCUGUGUGACCAUGCCCUAAGGGAGAGAUGGAGAAGGGCAAACCAUUCCUCCCACACAUGCACCUGCCUUCUGUCUCCUGGAGGCCCUUGGUGUCCACACAGUGAGCUGGUUUCCUAGUUCAUUCACAAAUUCCUAUCAAUACACUUGUGUUUCUUUCUCUCCUUUCUGGAUCUCUCAUUAGUAAUGAGUGAAGUAAAAUAUCUAAUGUGUUAAUUUCCCUGUAUGACAGUCAUGGUGGUGUCCCUCUUUGGGGAAAAUCGUCCUUGGAUGGAGCAGUGAGGAAACCCAGCUGUGCCUCUGUGCACGGGGUCCCUGCUGGGUCUGUGCUCUUGGCCUUAGAGACAGCGCCCCAGGCCUCCAGGUGGAGCAGAUCCUGGGGAGGCCACAGGUGAGGAGGAAGCUGGCCCAGGUGGCCCCCCUCGCAGGCAGGGACCAGAGGAGAGGGGCACAGGGAGGUGGGGAUGCAGGCAGGAGGUGCCCGUGCCCAGGUCUCAGUGGCACCCAGACUCCCUGCCCCUCCAGGACUCUGGGCUCAGGUCAGCCUGGGCUGAGAGGAAACUGCAGGAAGCAUCUGGGCAGAAACUGGGCUGCGGCCUGCGGAGCCUGAGGCCACCUGGCAAGAUGGACUCUCCAGACAGGAAUGUGAGAAGACAGAGGGGAACCUCUGAGGGGAAGAGGGAAUAAAUUCAGACGAAGAGGGGGGAAGCCCUGCGGGUGUGGGCUGCCGGGAGCAGGCUGCUCACCAGAGCCAACCUGAUUCUCCCAGGGUCUGGGAGUGCUCUAAAUGCCACUGUGAGUGACUCCUGCUCCUUACCAAUGCUGUCCCUAGACAGCAUGGCCACUCCCACCUGGUCACUGGGGAUGUCCCUGGCUAACCCCCCCUCACCUCAGGACAGCCUGAAUCCCUAGCUAACACACCCGGGGACAAGAAGCCCCAGCCUGGACACACCCCCACAGGGUCCUGGACACCCCUGACCAGCUCACAGACAGCGUGUCACCAGGCCCCUCUCUAACCCACCUCUGCACUGGAGUGUGGCCAAGGCUCUGCUCAGGGACCUCCAUCCACCAGGAGACUCUGGCCCAGGGACAUCCCUGCAGAGGGGCUGCCACUGACCGUGGUGCUGAAACAGGAUCAGGAUCCAGCUCAGCUGCCAAGGCUCUGCAGAGGGCUGAGCCCAGAGCCUGAGGAGCCCAGUGUGGCCCAGGAGGGGACGGCCAGGCCUGCUGCAGAGGAACAGGUGGAGACACGGGGGACCAGACAUCAGAGGUGGGUUGUGCUGAGCACCCCCUGCAGCUGCCUGUCCCCCUCAGGCAAUGUCCUCCUGAGGGCAAGGUCAUCUGCCCCCCUGGCUGGGCCACAGGGAAGGGCCUGGCUUGAUGAGGCCCUCUGCUGGCCCCUGAGCUGCCCCUUUACCAUCUUGCUUCACACCAGCCUCAUGACUUUGACCAAGAAGAAAACUGAGGGUCAGAAAUACCAGUCGCCAUGGCGCAGGCCUGAUGGGGAGGGGACCACCUGUGACCACUGAUUCAGCUCUGAUUGGCUCCCCUUCCAGGAAAUGUCGGUCCUGCCUGAGGCCAUCAGAGGGAUCCUCUUCUACCAGGAGCCCACGUGGCUGCCUUCUGCUGCUGCCCAGGGGUGGGGGCCGUGUUCCUGAGGGACCUGCCACUGUGGGGUGGUGGCGGCUGAAGGGGUAGAAGAGACUCUGUUUCCGUGUGUCUCUCCAGUCCAGGGUCCCAGACCAGCUGGCCUCGCCCACUUCUCAGAGUCCCUCUGUGUCUUGCACCAUUUACAGGUUCCUAGUUGUGCUGAGGCGGAAGGAGCAGGGGACAUGGGACAAUGCCAACUUCUCAGGACCAGAAGCCUCACAGCCACCUCCCAGUGUCUGGGCAGUGAAGUCGAGCUGGUCACGCCUGCCACCAGCCUGGACAGGAGCCUGAAGCAGCCGCCCUGCUGAGGACCUGGGAGUGGCGUCCAGGCCACAGGUGCUUUUCCCUCACGGCCAGAGUCCACCAUAGUUCACUGGUCCUCAUGAAUUUCUGGGUAAUGCUGUCCCUGCCAUGAUUUGGUGCUCCUUGGUGCAUGUUGGGCAGGUACGUCCUGAACUAGCUUUCAUUAUUAUAAUGGGGCUUUCUAGCAGGACAGUCAUGAGCUCUACUUCACCCCUCUACCCAGCAUCUGCCUUUGAGCUCAUUCUGAAGGGCACGGAGGUUUUAGCCACCUGUGGUCAGCCCUGAGUUCUAGAAAGUUCUCUCAGUGCUAGCCUGCAGUUUGCCUGUGGCAGGACAUAAAGGAGCUGGGAAGGCUGAGUAGGAGAGAGGAGGGAUGGAGAGAAGGAGGCUGGAGUGGAGGGAGGUGGUGCAGGUCAGGGGGAGAGCGCCCCCUGCAGGGUGUGGGCAGAGGGAGGCUGAGCUGCUGAUUCAGUGUCUGUGCUCAGGGGCCUCUGGACUAAGGUCAGCAGGAAGGACCAGGAUGCACAGUCAUGGGCUCCUGCAGGUGCAUGCUGGGAGCACCUCUGCUGCCCUCACAGUCACUGUUACACUAAUGCAGACCUGGAAUCUGGUACACGGAGGGGCAGAGUGGCUGGCCUGUGUCACAGGGUUCAUCAGGAGGGAGCACAGGUGUGAUCCAGGUCUCUGGUGGCAAAUUCUCAGAUAAUGUAAUUACAGCAGGAAACGCACUCAUGGCUGAUUACGGACUCCUUCUCUAUGCGGUGUCAGUCAUCAGCCUCUUGGUCCCACAAAGAGUAGGAUCCUGCCCCUGACCAGCACGAGCAGCUGAACUAAGAUGGCUCCUGUGAAUUUGCAGGGACACAAAAUAAAACACAAUUUACCUUCACACAAGCCUCAGGAUGGCUUCCCAGUCCUUGGCCUCAAACUCACCCAAAGGGGACAGCAAGAGAAACUCACAAUAGCUUU
This 20476-nucleotide long non-coding RNA is filed under the name Marmota monax (woodchuck). The stretch from base 3583 to 3653 matches the Rfam family "tRNA". Lineage: Eukaryota; Metazoa; Chordata; Mammalia; Rodentia; Sciuridae. The record is from RNAcentral.